Molecule: ribosomal RNA, 468 nt
Filed under: uncultured bacterium
Lineage: Bacteria
Description: partial 16S ribosomal RNA
Rfam family: Bacterial small subunit ribosomal RNA
Source: RNAcentral
GACGAACGCUGGCGGUGUGCUUAACACAUGCAAGUCGAACGGUAAGGCCCUUUCGGGGGUACACGAGUGGCGAACGGGUGAGUAACACGUGAGUAACCUGCCCUCAUCUCUGGGAUAACAGUCGGAAACGGUUGCUAAUACUGGAUAUGAGCUUGCAAGGCAUCUUGUGGGUUGGAAAGAUUUUUUUUGGUUGGGGAUGGACUCGCGGCCUAUCAGCUUGUUGGUGAGGUAGUGGCUCACCAAGGCUUCGACGGGUAGCCGGCCUGAGAGGGCGACCGGCCACAUUGGGACUGAGAUACGGCCCAAACUCCUACGGGAGGCAGCAGUGGGGAAUAUUGCACAAUGGACGGAAGUCUGAUGCAGCAACGCCGCGUGCGGGAUGACGGCCUUCAGGUUGUAAACCGCUUUCAAUUGUGACGAAGCUUUUUUGUGACGGUAGCAGUAGAAGAAGCACCGGCUAACUACGUG